GGCCUGAUAGCUCAGUCGGUAGAGCAAGGGAUUGAAAAUCCCUGUGUCCCUGGUUCGAUUCCAGGUCGGGCCACCA
RNAcentral lists this transfer RNA (76 nucleotides) under Gammaproteobacteria bacterium. Its description in RNAcentral is "tRNA-Phe". It matches the Rfam family "tRNA". From Rfam's summary of the family: Transfer RNA (tRNA) molecules are approximately 80 nucleotides in length. Their secondary structure includes four short double-helical elements and three loops (D, anti-codon, and T loops). Lineage: Bacteria; Pseudomonadati; Pseudomonadota; Gammaproteobacteria. The record is from RNAcentral.